Molecule: non-coding RNA, 596 nt
Organism: Triticum urartu
Lineage: Eukaryota; Viridiplantae; Streptophyta; Magnoliopsida; Poales; Poaceae
Source: RefSeq, a predicted model, not a curated record
UUUGCUCAAUACAAGUCAAGAAGGAGGUCGUACAUGCAACCAAAGUCUGAGCUGGACAUGUAUUUGGAGAAAAAUUUCGACAGCUCCGGGGGAAGUUUUGAUAUUUUGAUAGGGUGGAAAACACAUGCUGAAAAAUAUCCCGUGCUCUCAACCAUGGCUCGUGAUUUCCUUGCAAUACCUCUUAGCACCGUGUCAUCUGAAUCAGCAUUCAGUUGCAGUGGAAGGACUUUAGGAGAUUCCCGAUGCUCGAUGACGCCUGAAACGCUUGAGGCUUUAGUUUGCGGAAAAGAUUGGCUUAUCAAAAUUCCAAAUAAUGAAGGCCCAAGUGGGACAGCCUAAUGAAGAAAAGGUCUUAUGUUAACAAAUUGGUAUCAAGACGAAAGCCGGGGUAGAAGAAACCAUUUAGAAAAGGGAGAUGGAUGUCCAGCAACUAUGUAAAAUGAAUUAUGUAACUGAGUUAUUGUGUAACAUCCAGUAUUAUGUGUAAUAAUUUUAGACCCCAUGCUGUAACAUCCAACGGCUACUUAGUUAGUCAGGAAGCUAUCCUUUUCCUAGUAAAACUGGGUUGCCAUUCUUAUUCCUUGUCCAUGGAUUGA